RNAcentral lists this ribosomal RNA (1215 nucleotides) under Triticum aestivum (bread wheat). Its description in RNAcentral is "partial small subunit ribosomal RNA". Lineage: Eukaryota; Viridiplantae; Streptophyta; Magnoliopsida; Poales; Poaceae. The record is from RNAcentral.
AUGGCGGCGCUGCCUCUUCUCCGGUGGGGCGCCUCCUCCCUCCACGCCCACUUCUCCCCUACCCCGCCGCGACGCCUCUUCUCCGCUCUCCGACAGCCCCCUGCCGCCGGCCGCUACGAGCCAGGCUCCAGGGUCAUGCUUAAGGGGAUGGACUACCCAGAGCUCGAGAAAUGGGUGCAGUCGCAAGGAUUCCGACCGGGACAGGCCAUGAUGCUGUGGAAAUGCCUCUACGGGAACAACGUCUGGGCGCAUUGCCACGACGAGCUGGCUGGCUUGAACAAGGACUUGAGGAAAAUGAUAAGUGAUCAUGCUGAUCUGAAGGCAUUAACUAUUAAAGACAUUAUUACUGCAUCAGAUGGAACCCGAAAGAUACUGUUCUCUCUUGAAGAUGCCUCAGUGAUUGAAACAGUUGUCAUUCCUAGCGCCAGGGGCCGGACAACGGUCUGUGUUUCAAGUCAAGUGGGCUGUGCCAUGAAUUGUCAGUUUUGCUUCACUGGGAGGAUGGGUUUGAGAAAGCAUUUGUCUACAGCUGAGAUAGUUGAGCAGGCUGUGUUUGCUCGUAAGCUAUUUUCAGAUGAAUUUGGUACUAUUACAAAUGUUGUAUUUAUGGGCAUGGGCGAGCCGUUGCACAAUGUAGAUAACGUAAUAAAAGCAUCAUCUAUAAUGGUUGAUGAGCAGGGUCUUCAGUUUAGUCCUCGCAAGGUUACUGUAUCCACAAGUGGUCUCGUUCCAGAGAUAAAACGCUUCCUCAAUGAAUCCAAUUGCGAUCUGGCCGUGAGUCUUAAUGCAACAACUGAUGAGGUUAGGGAUUGGAUAAUGCCCAUUAACAGAAGGUACAAUCUUAGCACGCUUCUUGGCACUUUAAGGGAGGAACUUCGUUUGAGACCUAAGUCCAUAGUGCUAUUUGAAUACGUCAUGCUUGCUGGAGUGAAUGACAGUGUGGAUGAUGCGAAGAGGCUUACAGAGCUGGUUCGUGGUAUUGCCUGCAAGAUCAACCUCAUCUCUUUCAACCCCCAUAGUGGGUCCCAAUUCAAGCCGACGCCCGAUGAGAAAAUUAUCGAGUUCCGCAACAUGUUAAUCCAGUCCGGCCUUACCGUUAUGGUGCGGCUAAGCAGAGGCGAUGACCAGAUGGCUGCCUGCGGGCAGCUAGGAGCGGCUGGUGACUAUCAGCUACCGCUGCUCCGUGUUCCUGAGAAAUUUCAGGUCGCCUUAUGA